UUUGUUGCAUAGCUACAGCUCACUUCAUCAUCCUAGGUAUGCCACAGCUUCCCCCCCACACACCUCUCCAUUUGAAACUCCAAAUAUAUGCCUAAAGUGUCCCCUCUUCUUUCUCCUUGUGCAGAUGUCCUGGCUCUCAACAAAGGCACCAGACAGGAUUGUUUUUUCUCUUGCAUAAGCACUUCCUGAUGUCCACUACACUCUUUUCUCAAUCUUCUCCAGUCUUUUGCAAACUGUGAUGUUCAGAUGUCCUAUAAGCCUGACUUCCUGAUGUCCACUACACUCCGUUCUCAACCUUCUCCGGUCUUCUGCAAACUGUGAAUGCCUCCUUGUGUUGGAUUCAUGAUGUUCACCAUACUGCACGGCCUACUUUUUUUCUUCGCAAGCUAUGGAAAGAAACUCUGUUCAGCUCA
Molecule: long non-coding RNA, 413 nt
Organism: Sardina pilchardus (European sardine)
Lineage: Eukaryota; Metazoa; Chordata; Actinopteri; Clupeiformes; Clupeidae
Exons: 3
Source: RefSeq, a predicted model, not a curated record